CCCCCAAGGACUGACCUGCUGGGGUGGGGCGCAUGUGUGCAUGCACGCAGCACUCAGCCCUCCAGCCCAGCCUCGGAUUGACUCCAAAAGGCUCCAAGAUUUACCAGUAGAUCGAGAUCCACUAGUUGGUGACCACUGGGCUACAUGUGAGCUGUAGGGG
Gavialis gangeticus (Gharial) is the source of this 160-nucleotide long non-coding RNA. RefSeq lists it as uncharacterized. NCBI's taxonomy places the organism in Eukaryota, Metazoa, Chordata, Crocodylia, Gavialidae. The transcript has 3 exons. The record is from RefSeq and is a predicted model, not a curated record.